UAAAGAGAUUUUGAUAGAUUUUACGUAAUUAUAAAAAUCAUUAUCUUGCACCAGCGUUCAAAAGAAAAUAAUGUUAGAAAAUGUUAUAGAAAAAGAAGCAAUUUAUGACUAAAAUUCGUGAGGAGAUAUUAAUCUCGCAAUAUCUUUCGUAUUUACGAUUAACUACACAUUGAACAAUCCGCGGUAGAGAAUUCCUUUCUCGUCCAUCAAUUGAAAUGUUCAACCCUCAGAGGGUUGAUUCUUAUCGCGAAUUAUGUACGUAUUUCCUUUUCAUUGAUAUUCAUUCUUUUCUAUCCUAUAGCAUUGAAAUCUUGAUCCUAAUUUAAAUUUAAGGAAGUGCAAUUAUUAUUUAUACGCUACUUAUUACUUAUAAUAUUACUUAUAUUAUGAGUAAAAAGAUGUUUGAAAAUUUUAAUAUUAUACAAGCUUAUUUAUCUUUAUUAUUAUAUCACAAUUAAACAAAAUUAUUGGAUUUGUAAUAAUCGUAACACCCACAAUAGAAUGCAGGUAAAGAACAUUAAUGAUAGCUUGAUACGGUGUCAGAUACGCGCAUGCGGUUUAUCCAAUGAAUUUCCAUUGGUUCUUCCACAAUUACAUUGAUUUCUAGCUAGUCUGUGAUUGGUUGAUGAUACGGCUACCAUUGAUAUCACCCCAGCAGCGAAUUAUCCUGAUAGGUAAUUUUCACGCAAAUAUGAAACAAUUGGGAUUAACGUCGCAACGCAGACAAAGCGGAAAUUCAUCUCAAUUCCAGUAAAUGUUGCUUGAUGAUGAGCUCUUUUGUUUGUAAUUGAUUUCCAAUUUCAUUUUGUAUUACGUCUGUCCAGUUCUUAAUAAAUUAUUUAUCGAUGCAAGUAUUUUAACUUCUUAAUUUGUAUGAAAAAACUACUUACAAAAUGACAAAGUAUUUUAAUCACUUAAGAACUAAAUUAAAAAGCAACAAACUGGCAGAGAAAGUAAUUUUUGUUGUAAUUUAUAAAUUCUUUUAAAGACAAUGAAAUUACGUGAAUAACUUAUUCACGAAAUUGGACGUCAUUAAAUACCUGAUUGUAAUUGAAUAUACGUAUGUAUCGUUAAUGAAUGUUGGACAUUCAAAGCAAAUGCAAUUUGUUCAUAAAUAUUUUAUUAAUCAUUUAUGAAUCAUUUUAUAUAAAUAUUUCGGAUCGAGGUGAAAGCGAUCGUUGUGUUUAAUUUAACACAUAACUGUCUUGUUAUUAUCGUUUGAACUUGCAGGUCAAAGUCAGUCUCAGGUUGUUUAGUCAGUCUCGCUAAGACCGUCGCGGGAUUCUCACUGGCAAUGUCGUGUACUAUCAAAAUUAAUAACUAAUUCCUGUUCAUGUAUUGUGUUUCUACACAUAGCCAUUUGUAUUUCAAUGGAUUCGCUAAUGUGAUUGAACGCAGAGUUAGAUGGGUGCUUUGAUGAGUGAAGACGACUCUUUAACAAUCGAAAAGACAUUUAAUAUUAACAACACAAUGGACGAUAAGAAAGAAGUAUCAAAGGAAAAGGUCAGGAGGAAAUCUCCUCCAUCGCCCUCCCGUGAUGCACGUACGUUCAGUGGUCUAAGUCGACGAUUGGUGAGUCGUAUCUUUUACAUGUAAUUUCUCCAUUAUGCAUGACUAAUAGCCGAAAACGACCCAGGAACUAGUUUUAUUUCUAUCUAUUUUCGUGUAGAUUGUUUUUCAGUGUUUUAUUUGUUAAUUUACACCAUAAUAUGACAAACAAUUUGCCAUUCUUAUCUCUCAUUACUUAUUAUUAAGAAAUAUUAUCCAAAUGGUAUAUAUUGAUUUUGAUGCUUUUUAGUACAAUUUGAAGAAAUAUUUAACAUUUUUAUCAGAAUCUAUGUGUAUCAUUUAGGCAACAUUUAAUUUAAUUAGAGCCAAAACGCGUCUCUCAAGUUGACAAUAGCUUGACGGACGAGGUGUAUUUUAUAAUGCGAGGGUGGUUGGGAUUUGGCGAUUUGGGAGGGUCACUACUUAUAGCCACCUCCUCGUGGUAUGACCUGGUAAUCGAUAUCGUUUCCUGUAGAUUGUAGAGAUUUAAAAACUUUUGAAAUUUCAAGGAAAACGAUAUUGAGCUAAGAGCUGCAAUUGUAAGUUCGUAUAUGAAAAUUGAAGAAUAAAUUGAUCUCGAUUUUAUAUUCAAGAUAGUAUAUUGGCAAUUUUUAAUGUUGCAGUUUAUCAUCGAUUGUGACCAGAAACAAUAAUUUUUUUAUAAUAUAAUUUUGUAUAA
This is a non-coding RNA of Osmia lignaria (orchard mason bee), 2227 nucleotides long. NCBI's taxonomy places the organism in Eukaryota, Metazoa, Arthropoda, Insecta, Hymenoptera, Megachilidae. The record is from RefSeq and is a predicted model, not a curated record.